This 1047-nucleotide long non-coding RNA is filed under the name Homo sapiens (human). RNAcentral describes it as "HSALNT0059512". The record is from RNAcentral. Lineage: Eukaryota; Metazoa; Chordata; Mammalia; Primates; Hominidae.
CUUUUUUGUCUAAGGUUCCACAAAUGAAGUGUAUCAUCUGAACUUGCACUGACCAAGGCACCCUAGAACAAAAAGAAGAUAAACACAGGAAACUAUCAACAGAGUAAACAGACAAUCUACAGAAUGAGAGAAAAUAUUUGCAAGCUAUGCAUCUGACAAAGGUCUAAUAUCCAGACUACAAAAGCUUAAAAACAAAUUAAAAAGCAAAAAACAAACAACCCCACUAAAAAUUGGGCAAAGGACAUGAACAGAUGCUACUCAAAAGAAGACAUACACAUGGCCAACAAGCGUAUGAAAAAAUGUUCAAUCAUUAGAGAAAUGCACAUUAAAAUCACAAUAAAAUAUAUCAUACCAGUCAGAAUGGCUAUUGAAAAGUCAAAAAAUAACAGAUAUUGGCACAGUUAUGGAGAAAAGGGAAUGCUUAUUCACUGCUGAUGGCAAUGUAAAUUAGUUCCACUCCUGUGGAAAUCAGUUUGGAGAAUUCUCAAAGAACUUAAAACAGAACUAUCAUUCAACUAAACAAUCCCACUAGUGGGUAUAUACCCAAGACAAUAUAAAUCAUUCUACCAUAAAGACACAUGCAUGCAUAUGUUCAGUGAAGCACUAUUCACAAUAGGAAAGACAUGGAAUCAACCUAAAUGUCUAUCAGUGGUGAAUGGGAUAAAGGAAGUGUGAUACAUAUACACCAUGGAAAAUUAUGCAGCCAUAAAAAAAAUCAUUUCCUUUGCAGUAACAUGGAUGGAGCUAGAGGCCAUUAUACUAAGCAUGUCAACACAGGAACAGAAAACCAAUACUGCAUGUUCUCACUUACAUAAGUGGGAGCUGAACAUUGAGUACACAUGGAUAAAAAUGAUGAAACACCAGUGCCUACUUCAGGGUGGUCAGUGAAAGGAGGAUAAGGAUUGAAAAACUAUUGACUACUAUGCUCAUUACCUGAGUGAUGAUAUAAUCUGUAGACCAAAUCCCCAUGACAUGCAAUUUACCCAUGUAACAAACCUGAACAUGUACCCCCCUGAACCUAGAAUAAAAGUUGGAAAGCAAGAAAAG